Molecule: long non-coding RNA, 1585 nt
Organism: Ornithodoros turicata
Lineage: Eukaryota; Metazoa; Arthropoda; Arachnida; Ixodida; Argasidae
Exons: 2
Source: RefSeq, a predicted model, not a curated record
GGGAGCGCGAGCGUGAAGAAACCGGCCGCCAUCUUACGGUGCUCACAACAGUCGCCGCAGCGAUCAUGGCAACUUCUUGCAAUUACGGUCGUACCAACCGUACUGGCAAGGUUACAGGGCCUAAAUUUAUACAGGUGAGUCACUCUUUAUCGAGGAAUAAAUAGGCGUUCAUUCUGUAUAUUUAGUUGACCAUUAUGAAGUGUUUUUUUGCCCAAAACGAGCACUGGAUGCAGGUUGCUUGAUCGCUCUUCCGACGUUCAAUGGAGCACACUUGCAUUUUACCCGGCGGCAAAUACAGUUUGAGUGCAUAAUAUGCUUGAAAGAACACGUUACACUACACAGGUAGUGUUGUCAUCAAUAUAUGUGCGAGCACUCGAGCGCAUUUUUGCAUGCAUUGCUAGCAUGGUACAUGGUGUUCUCUGCGGAAGCAAGUGCCACAUUCAUUUCUUUGAAUUACCUUCGCGCACAAGUUCGGUAUUACGUCAUAAUGAGACCACGAUUGUCACCUUUUUUCAUGUAUUGGUAUUGUUUUGUGCCUUGGUUUGAUUUGUGACAAAGAAUCCUACGUAGCGGUGGUGUGGCGCGACUUGAAUAACGCCUUUGUCUGAGCUGUAUCGUCAGCUUGUUACGAUAGUAAUAAUUUGUAGCGUGUCGUGCUACUUGUAGCAGUUUUUAAGGCAAAAGUGGUCUCUCAAUACAGGUUUUGUCAUGAGGGCUACCCAGUGAAUUAUCUGUGCAGUGUGAUACGGCUGGGUGUACAGGUUACUUCACAGCUGCCUCAACAUACUCAAGAAAUGGGUGCAGAACCUGCGUAAUGCCCACAAAGUUUGACUACCACAGCACCUCCAUAAAGUAAAGGCAUAUGUGUCACAUGGGAUUUUUAAAGGCAUUCACAGUAUAUAAUACCUUGUAUGAACUGUUGUUGAUCUAAGCAGCCUCUACAGUACACUCUCAGAAAUUAAAACUUGUCAGGGAACUGUGAUAAUUGUUCCAGUUAAUAGGCAUGCAUAUGUACGCUAUAAGAAAAUUAUUUAUUGAGAAUGCACUACUGUUGAUCACACUCGUGCAGCUGUAGGUUUACCUUCGGCCUCUUGGAACUCUUUUUUUUAGUUGCCUUAGCUGCAGGAGGAGUGUCAUCGAGCAUGUCAACUACUUGCAGAAAUAUUGACGUAUUUAAGAUUAUGACACAGUUUGAAGGGUUUCAAUUCAGGAAAUUUGCAGUGGCAGGGCCUGCCAGAGUGAAACCUACUGAAUAUUUUAUGGUGUCGAAGUGGCAGUUCCUCCAGGAUAGGAAUAUCUUAGAUGGGAGCAAAAAGCUUGAAAUUAACAAAGUGUUGUUUGCAUUAAGCAAUUUGUAAUACACUGAACACAUAGGCAGCAAAACAAAAAUUUAAAAUUCAGCAUGUAUGAAAAUUGGGUGCAACAAAUUUGCAUAGUGUACGUGUACAUUGUCAUUCCUGAGAUAUAUAUUGUCAUUGCAGGGAGGUCACAAAACAAUAAAUGUAUUGUUUUGUCACUUCCCUGCACAUUCAUUGUAUCUUGAAAUGCGUAUAUGCCAGAAUAAAUGUUGAACUUGAAAAUUGUA